GGAGAGAUGGCCGAGUGGCUUAAGGCGCACGCUUGGAAAGUGUGUGUACUGUCAAAAGUACCGUGGGUUCGAAUCCCACUCUCUCCGCCA
Molecule: transfer RNA, 90 nt
Filed under: Candidatus Pelagibacteraceae bacterium
Lineage: Bacteria; Pseudomonadati; Pseudomonadota; Alphaproteobacteria; Candidatus Pelagibacterales; Candidatus Pelagibacteraceae
Description: tRNA-Ser
Rfam family: tRNA
About the family: Transfer RNA (tRNA) molecules are approximately 80 nucleotides in length. Their secondary structure includes four short double-helical elements and three loops (D, anti-codon, and T loops).
Source: RNAcentral